AUUGAACGCUGGCGGCAGGCCUAACACAUGCCAGUCGAGCGGAUGAAGGGAGCUUGCUCCUGGAUUCAGCGGCGGACGGGUGAGUAAUGCCUAGGAAUCUGCCUGGUAGUGGGGGAUAACGUCCGGAAACGGGCGCUAAUACCGCAUACGUCCUGAGGGAGAAAGUGGGGGAUCUUCGGACCUCACGCUAUCAGAUGAGCCUAGGUCGGAUUAGCUAGUUGGUGGGGUAAAGGCCUACCAAGGCGACGAUCCGUAACUGGUCUGAGAGGAUGAUCAGUCACACUGGAACUGAGACACGGUCCAGACUCCUAAGGGAGGCAGCAGUGGGGAAUAUUGGACAAUGGGCGAAAGCCUGAUCCAGCAAUGCCGCGUGUGUGAAGAAGGUCUUCGGAUUGUAAAGCACUUUAAGUUGGGAGGAAGGGCAGUAAGUUAAUACCUUGCUGUUUUGACGUUACCAACAGAAUAAGCACCGGCUAACUUCGUG
RNAcentral lists this ribosomal RNA (484 nucleotides) under uncultured bacterium. RNAcentral describes it as "partial 16S ribosomal RNA". It matches the Rfam family "Bacterial small subunit ribosomal RNA", at positions 30 to 507 of the family's 1533-position model. The record is from RNAcentral.